CGCGCCGGCGCCAUGGCCGCCCAGGGGAUCUGGACACUGGCGGGAGUAGUGCUUAGGAGGCCACCGCCUGGAGCCGAAGGCUUCCGACAGCAGCUCAGCCUAACCCUCCGUUCAGCGUCCGAGGGAGCCCGCGGCGGCUCCGCGCCCGGCUCGUGGGAAACCCCUGAAGGAGAACCGAGGCAUCCAGCGAGCCGAGAGUUAACAGCGGCGGAGAGGCACAUCGCCGAGCUGCACCGGGCCGCCUGCGCGGUGAGGCCCGCUCCAGCCUGCCCUGCGGCCUCUGCGCCUGCGCGCCUCCUACCUUCGGACCCGCAGGCGGCCGGGACCGGAGGCUGGCCAGCUAAGCUAUGUGGACCCAGCUACUGGCUAUGUGGUUCUCACAAGGCUGGCCCACUUGCAGAGAGGCGCCUGCUGUGGCUCUGCCUGCAGACACUGCAAGCAUCAGCUCCUCCAGAUGCUAAGACUUGAAGUUCAGGGGAGCUCUUUAUUUCGAGGAAAGCUUUCAUGAAGUCUGAAAGAAGGUGUAUUCACUAGGCAUGCACAGAGGUGUCCAUAUGGCCAAGUCAAUGUGAAAGAUCCAUCCAAGAAGAAGCAAUUCAACUCCCAUUUUUAUGUUUGACAACAACUUCAUCUCUA
Molecule: RNA transcript, 636 nt
Organism: Arvicanthis niloticus (Nile rat)
Lineage: Eukaryota; Metazoa; Chordata; Mammalia; Rodentia; Muridae
Gene: C10H1orf53
Gene name: chromosome 10 C1orf53 homolog
Source: RefSeq, a predicted model, not a curated record